RNAcentral lists this ribosomal RNA (465 nucleotides) under Vreelandella stevensii. RNAcentral's name for it is "partial 16S ribosomal RNA". It matches the Rfam family "Bacterial small subunit ribosomal RNA", at positions 338 to 795 of the family's 1533-position model. The record is from RNAcentral. Lineage: Bacteria; Pseudomonadati; Pseudomonadota; Gammaproteobacteria; Oceanospirillales; Halomonadaceae.
CCUACGGGUGGCAGCAGUGGGGAAUAUUGGACAAUGGGGGCAACCCUGAUCCAGCCAUGUCGCGUGUGUGAAGAAGGCCCUCGGGUUGUAAAGCACUUUCAGUGAGGAAGAACGCCUGGUGGUUAAUACCCAUCAGGAAAGACAUCACUCACAGAAGAAGCACCGGCUAACUCCGUGCCAGCAGCCGCGGUAAUACGGAGGGUGCGAGCGUUAAUCGGAAUUACUGGGCGUAAAGCGCGCGUAGGUGGCUUGAUAAGCCGGUUGUGAAAGCCCCGGGCUCAACCUGGGAACGGCAUCCGGAACUGUCAAGCUAGAGUGCAGGAGAGGAAGGUAGAAUUCCCGGUGUAGCGGUGAAAUGCGUAGAGAUCGGGAGGAAUACCAGUGGCGAAGGCGGCCUUCUGGACUGACACUGACACUGAGGUGCGAAAGCGUGGGUAGCAAACAGGAUUAGAUACCCGAGUAGUC